Molecule: ribosomal RNA, 466 nt
Filed under: uncultured bacterium
Lineage: Bacteria
Description: partial 16S ribosomal RNA
Rfam family: Bacterial small subunit ribosomal RNA
Source: RNAcentral
GAUGAACGCUGGCGGCGUGCUUAACACAUGCAAGUCGAACGAUGAAGCCCAGCUUGCUGGGUGGAUUAGUGGCGAACGGGUGAGUAACACGUGAGUAACCUGCCCUUGACUCUGGGAUAAGCCUGGGAAACUGGGUCUAAUACUGGAUAUGACUUCUCAUCGCAUGGUGGGGGGUGGAGAGAUUUAUUGGUCUUGGAUGGACUCGCGGCCUAUCAGCUUGUUGGUGAGGUAAUGGCUCACCAAGGCGACGACGGGUAGCCGGCCUGAGAGGGUGACCGGCCACACUGGGACUGAGACACGGCCCAGACUCCUACGGGAGGCAGCAGUGGGGAAUAUUGCACAAUGGGCGCAAGCCUGAUGCAGCGACGCCGCGUGAGGGAUGACGGCCUUCGGGUUGUAAACCUCUUUCAGUAGGGAAGAAGCGAGAGUGACGGUACCUGCAGAAGAAGCGCCGGCUAACUACGUG